Peromyscus maniculatus bairdii (prairie deer mouse) is the source of this 642-nucleotide non-coding RNA. The record is from RefSeq and is a predicted model, not a curated record. Lineage: Eukaryota; Metazoa; Chordata; Mammalia; Rodentia; Cricetidae.
GUCAUGGUGUCUCCACGGCAACAGAGCAGAGACUAAGACAAGGGUGAAAACCGUAAAGGCUGCUGCUCCAUGGCAAGGCUCUGGUCUGUCCUGUGUUUAUCUCUGAAAGGCUAGUGGGAGGAUUCACGACACCCCAUGAUGCUGUGAAGGGGCAGAAGAAAAGGCAAAACCAAUCGCUCCUACAGAGACAUGAGGACCCUCCCAUCCAAGGGUCAGCCACCCCCCCCCACCCCCAAGGGGAUUGAACUUGGGUCCUCAUGCUUGAAAGGCAAGCGCUUUCCUGACUGAGCCAUCUUCCCAGUCCCAAACCACAAUCUAAUUUGAGGCUCAUCCUUUGUGACCUCAGGAGUCAGGGACUUCAAACAGCUGAACUGCCUGAGAGUUGUACUCUCUUCCGGUUGCUGCCCAAAUCAGUGACAUAACUGCACUCUGGUCCAACAAGCGACUGUGAACCUACACAGCAAAGAUAUUAGGAGAGGAUGGGCAUGGCGGGGCAUGCCUCUGAACCCAGCAUGCAGGAGACUGAAUGAGGCAGGAAGACCAGCUAUGAGCUCGAGACCAGUCUGGACUACAUGGUGAUUUCUGAGGUGAGAUUGGGCUACAGAGCAAGACCCUACAACACCUUUAUCAUCAUCAUCAUCA